Molecule: ribosomal RNA, 710 nt
Filed under: Halomonas sp. M2(2014)
Lineage: Bacteria; Pseudomonadati; Pseudomonadota; Gammaproteobacteria; Oceanospirillales; Halomonadaceae
Description: bacterial SSU rRNA
Rfam family: Bacterial small subunit ribosomal RNA
Source: RNAcentral
UGAAGAAGGCCCUCGGGUUGUAAAGCACUUUCAGCGAGGAAGAACGCCUAGCGGUUAAUACCCGCUAGGAAAGACAUCACUCGCAGAAGAAGCACCGGCUAACUCCGUGCCAGCAGCCGCGGUAAUACGGAGGGUGCAAGCGUUAAUCGGAAUUACUGGGCGUAAAGCGCGCGUAGGUGGCUUGAUAAGCCGGUUGUGAAAGCCCCGGGCUCAACCUGGGAACGGCAUCCGGAACUGUCAAGCUAGAGUGCAGGAGAGGAAGGUAGAAUUCCCGGUGUAGCGGUGAAAUGCGUAGAGAUCGGGAGGAAUACCAGUGGCGAAGGCGGCCUUCUGGACUGACACUGACACUGAGGUGCGAAAGCGUGGGUAGCAAACAGGAUUAGAUACCCUGGUAGUCCACGCCGUAAACGAUGUCGACCAGCCGUUGGGUGCCUAGCGCACUUUGUGGCGAAGUUAACGCGAUAAGUCGACCGCCUGGGGAGUACGGCCGCAAGGUUAAAACUCAAAUGAAUUGACGGGGGCCCGCACAAGCGGUGGAGCAUGUGGUUUAAUUCGAUGCAACGCGAAGAACCUUACCUACUCUUGACAUCCUGCGAAUUUGGUAGAGAUACCUUAGUGCCUUCGGGAACGCAGAGACAGGUGCUGCAUGGCUGUCGUCAGCUCGUGUUGUGAAAUGUUGGGUUAAGUCCCGUAACGAGCGCAACCCUUGU